GAUGAACGCUGGCGGCGUGCCUAACACAUGCAAGUCGAACGGAAAGGCGCGGAGCUUGCUCCUUUGACGUUAGCGGCGGGCGGGAGAGUAACGCGUGGGUCACCUCCCUGUAAGACUGGGAUAACUAGGGGAAACCGGAGCUAAUACGGGAUAAGAUUUCGAACCGCAGGGUGCGAUGGUGAAAGAUGGCUUUGCUGUCACUUAUAGAUGGACCUGCGCCGUAUUAGCUAGUUGGUAAGGUAACGGCUUACCAAGGCGACGAUCCGUAGCCGACCUGAGAGGGUGAUCGGCCACACUGGAACUGAGACACGGCCCAGACUCCUACGGGAGGCAGCAGUGGGGAAUUUUCGGCAAUGGGCGCAAGCCUGACGCAGCAAUGCCGCGUGCGUGAUGAAGGUCUUCGGGUCGUAAAACUCUGUUAUUAGGGAAGAACAGCCUUCUAAUUAAACGUGCAGGUCUUGACGGUACCGAAUGAAAAAGCAACGGCUAACUACGUG
Molecule: ribosomal RNA, 497 nt
Filed under: uncultured bacterium
Lineage: Bacteria
Description: partial 16S ribosomal RNA
Rfam family: Bacterial small subunit ribosomal RNA
Source: RNAcentral